Molecule: long non-coding RNA, 4158 nt
Filed under: Homo sapiens (human)
Lineage: Eukaryota; Metazoa; Chordata; Mammalia; Primates; Hominidae
Description: HSALNT0041826
Source: RNAcentral
AUGCAAUAUUUUAAAAUGUGGUAAAAUAUUUCUUGUUUCAGUGAAUAAGAAUGGUCUUCUUACAUAAUGCAGGGAUGGAAGAAGAUACUUGGAAAAAUCAGGGAAGAGUGAAGAAGAUACUUCAAAAAAUCGGGGAAGAUUUUCAUCAUAAGGUCCAAGCAAAGGCAUGAGUAUAAGAUGUGUAUUCCUGAGCCUGAGUCUACUGACAAAUAUACCACAUCCCCAGAGUAAGUUGGAGUCUCUUAAAAUUGUCUUGCUGGCAUCUAGCGGAGAUUGUCCCCACAAGCAUGUUCCUUAUGACGGAUGCCUGGGUCAGAACACAUAAUACAUUCCUUUUUAUAAGCACAAAGAUUCUGAGAAGCACUGCCCCUCCCACGUGUCACACUCUGGGGAGAGAUUAUUGGAAUGCCUCUUGGAUCAGUGGGAUUUUACCAAUGGAAACCCAGCAGGAGACUGAAGAAAGAAAGGAGUGAGGGCUGGCUUGCUAUUAACUAGUGCCGCAGGACUGCAUGGAGGUUGCCCUACGCUCAACCACACCAUGACCUCAAUCUCUCUACCAAGACCUUGAUCUCUGAUGUGGAACUUUGUCAAAUGCUGUCUGCAAACGUAAGAGCAUGCUCUUCCCUGCAGGAGGACAAAGCCGGAGUCGUCUUCGAAAGGCAGAGGAGCGCUGAAUGAAUAAACAUUGGCAUUUCAUGGUGGGGCUUGCUGUCAGACCCAAGCUACUUCAGAUAGAACAUUUUGAUUAGAAAUUUCAAGAAGUGUUGUUUGGAAGGGCAUCAUUCGUCCAUUGUCUAGUGAUUUUACAGAAUAAUACUUUUACAAACCACUUGUCAAUGGAUUGAAGAAGAAGAAAGUUGCAGUCAGGUGCUUUGGACAAAGCAUUGUCCCAGACGUCACUAGGGAAAUGAAGAAAUGUUUUUCCUCCUUUCUGUUCAGAAAAAAAGUAGUUGUUAUGAAGGUCUUAGGAGAAGAUAAAUUAGACUGCUUUUCCUGGGAGUGGCUUGAUGGACUGUGAAUGAAUAUUCAGUCUUUUUAGAGAAAAUUGAUUACAUUUUAAGGGCUGUUAUAGGUUUUAUGAGCAAACAUAUGCAUCCCAUUCCAAUUUGCUGUAGGAUGAAUGUAGUUCUUUAGAACAAAGUGCAAUUAAAAUAUAUAUAGAAACAGGAUGACAAGAGUUCUCUUUUAGGAGCUGAAUAAAACUGGAAACCCAUAGAAUGUCAAGAUUUUUAUCCAGUUAAGUUUACAGCUAUAAACUUCUUCAAACUCAGUUAAAAUAGUAAUUUGUUUAACUUUUCACUAGUCUUCAUGUUAGGAAUGGAGUGUCAGAGGAUGAGAUGUACAAAUAGUCACACUGCCUUAGCCGAUAAAGAAACCUGAGGAAAAACUGUGAUGUAAUCUCUUCUCCUUUCCCCCCUCCAACGAGCCUGAACUCUCAGAAUCAGGGAUCAGAUUUAUGAGGGAUGUUUAAAAUCCAUUUCUUUUAGGUUUAAUAAACCAAAAUGUUCAACUUUCUCGCAAAAUUUUCUAAAUUUUAUCUGCAACUGUUGACAUUCAUGUUUUUAAAAAGUGCACACCUAGAGUGACAAAAUAAGAAACAAAUGUAUUUAAGUUAAUGUAGAAUUUUUAUGAGUAUCUUAUCUAUAGAGUACCAAUUUUUUUAAAGAAACAAAACAUUAAAAAGUUUUAAACUCUAUAGAAGUAUUAUGCCAUAGGGCUUUAUAAAGAUUAAGUGAGGUAAUAUAUAACAAGUGCUUAAAACAUACACAGUAUUACAGUAGAGUUAGCUUUAUUAUUAAUAGUAACUCAAGCCUAUGAUGACCAAAACUGAGUUUUUGAUUCCUGCAAGUUCAACAUCUGCUCCUCCCCUUGUCUUUCUGUUUAAUAAGUUGUUACACCAUCUACCCUAAUUCCUGAAUUCCAAAACCUUGGAGUCUUCUUUGAUUUCUUUCUCAUGUUCUCCACGUUAGUAGGCCCUGCUGCUUUCCCUCCUCAGUGUAUGCUAAACUCAUUUAACUUUCUCCAUUUUUACUGACAAUGCACACCAUCAUACUCUGUCAUCUAUGCCACUGUAACACAUUCUUAAAUGGUCCCUCUGUUCAACUGUUGCCCCUGCAAUUCAUUCUAUAUGUAGUGGUGAAAGUGAAUACAUAUAAACACAAAUCAAGUUUUGUUACUUGAUGGAAACCCUCCAAUAAUCAUUCACUAUGAAUAAAAUCCAGACCUUUUGCUAUGACCCUCAAGACCCCAUGUGACCUGGUCCUUGCCUACCUCUCUGGCCUUGGCUCUCACAAUUCUGUCUGUACUGAUAUUCACCAGUCAUAUUGGUUGUCUCUUUUUUCCUAAAUUAAGCACUCUAAACUCAUUUCUGCUUCAGAGACUGCAGAUGCCAUGCUCUGUGCCGGAAACUCUCUUUUCCCUUCUCUGGUUAGCUCCUUCCCAUCAUUCAGGUUUCAGUUCAAAUGAGGCUUCUCUGAGGACUGAUCUAUUAUUUGCCACAGCCAUUCUUUAUUCUCUAUGGCAUCCUCCAUAUUAUUUUCUUUAUAAUACUUCUUAAUGUGUGAAUAAUUACUGUGUGGAUGACUUCCUUACAUAGUUAUUUAUUUGUUCAUGUUCUUGCUUACAUUUCAUUGUCAGCUUCUAGAAGAAGAGCUCUUUAAGAGCAGUGACCCUGUCUGUCUUGAUCAUGGAACAAAGACUGGUAUAUCCAGAUGUUCAAUAAAUAUUUCCUGUAUGAAUACAUGACUAUGUUUCAUUUUCCUCUUCUUUCCUCCUUUUGCCCCUCACUUCUCUGUCUUUUUUUUAUGUGUCUCUCUCUUUCUCUGUCACUAUCUUACACAAAAGGAAUAUAAAUAUAUAUUUGUAUAUAUGCAGAUAACUUUGUGCCCCCAAUGUUAUAGAAAUCAUUACAUGUCAGUAUAUUUUGUUCUACCUUAUACUUCUAAAACAGUUGUAAGAUAUUGUAUGAAUGAAUCAUAAUUUAUUUAAUCAUUCUCUAGUGAGAGACAUCAAGAUGACUUAAAUUUUUUUUUUCUUAGGUAAGUAAUCAUUGCUGUAAUGAAUACUUUUGCAUAGUCUUUUUUGCUCACAUGUGCUUGCAUUUCUCUAAAAUACAUUUCUAGAUGUGGAAUAACUUUGUCAUUUAAAAAAAUUCUCUCUGAAAAGGCUUAACCAAAAAUAUAGAAAUUUGCUCAUUUUUUCCACCUUUACCCAAACUAGAUAUUAAUAUUUUUUAAAAGAAUUAUUUCUCCUUUUUUUGACAAAACAUUGGUAUCUGGCUGGGCAUGGUGACUCACACCUGUAAUCCCAGCACUUUGGGAGGCCGAGGAGGGCAGAUUUCUUGAAGUCAGAAGUUCAGGACUAACCUGACCAACAUGGUGAAACCCCUUCUCUACUAAAAAUACAAAAAUUAGCCAGGUGUGGUGGCAUGUCUGUAGUUCCAGCUACUCGGGAGGCUGGGACACAAGAAUCGCUUGAACCUGAGAGGCAGAGGCUGCAGUCAGCUGAGAACGCACCACUGAACUCCAGCCUGGGUGACAGACCUAGAACCUGCCUCAAAGAAAACAAAACAAAACAAAACAUUGAAAUCUUAUUUUUAGAUUAUCUUUGUCUGAUCUUAGUGAGGUUGAUGACAUUUCUGUGUAUUUAUUGGCUAAUCAUAUUUCUUCUCUGAGUUGCUUUCUCUUAUUCUUUUCUCAUUUUCUGUUACAUUGUUUAUUCUUUUUGCUUUGUAGGAGGUAGAUAUAUAUUUUGAUUAUAAAAAUUUUUACUAUUACAUAUGUUGAAAAUAUUUUUUCUAGUUUGUGCCUUGUUUUUUAUCUUUGGCCAUAAGAUCUUUGAAAAUACCAAAGUAUAAAAAUUAGCCAAAUCUGUCAAAUGUUUUCUUUAUGGAUUUCAGAUUGCAAUUUAUUUAAAAAGGCUUUUUAAUUUCAAGACUAUUAAAAUAUUUCAAUUUUUUCUCUAAUGUGUUGUAUCUUUAAAUUUUUUACAUUUGUCUUUAUACCUCUCUGAAAUAUACUUUUAGGUAUGUUGCAUGCAUAUAUGGAAUUGAACUUCAUAUUUUCCAAAUAGUCAAUUAUUAUAUGGCCGUUUAUAAAAUAGUCAAUUUUUUCUAAAUGAUUCAAAUUUUUAAGUGCUGACAUAGGCAUUUAUCUCCCU